UAUGGGUUAGUGGCGGACGGGUGAGUAACGCGUGGGUAACCUGCCUUACACAGGGGGAUAACACUUAGAAAUAGGUGCUAAAACCGCAUAAGCGCACAGCUUCGCAUGAAGCGGUGUGAAAAACUCCGGUGGUGUAAGAUGGACCCGCGUCUGAUUAGCUUGUUGGCGGGGUAACGGCCCACCAAGGCGACGAUCAGUAGCCGGCCUGAGAGGGCGGACGGCCACAUUGGGACUGAGACACGGCCCAGACUCCUACGGAAGGCAGCAG
This 268-nucleotide ribosomal RNA is filed under the name uncultured bacterium. Its description in RNAcentral is "partial 16S ribosomal RNA". It matches the Rfam family "Bacterial small subunit ribosomal RNA", at positions 86 to 354 of the family's 1533-position model. The record is from RNAcentral.